GGGGGNAACCCUGAUCCAGCAAUGCCGCGUGAGUGAAGAAGGCCUUCGGGUUGUAAAGCUCUUUUGUCAGGGAAGAAACACCGGCUCUAACACAGUCCGGGAAUGACGGUACCUGAAGAAUAAGCACCGGCUAACUACGUGCCAGCAGCCGCGGUAAUACGUAGGGUGCGAGCGUUAAUCGGAAUUACUGGGCGUAAAGCGUGCGCAGGCGGUUAUACAAGACAGGCGUGAAAUCCCCGGGCUUAACCUGGGAAUGGCGCCUGUGACUGUAUAGCUAGAGUGUGUCAGAGGGGGGUAGAAUUCCACGUGUAGCAGUGAAAUGCGUAGAUAUGUGGAGGAAUACCAAUGGCGAAGGCAGCCCCCUGGGAUAACACUGACGCUCAUGCACGAAAGCGUGGGGAGCAAACAGGAUUAGAUACCCUGGUAGUCCACGCCCUAAACGAUGCUGACUAGUUGUUCGGGAUUUACAUCCUGAGUAACG
Molecule: ribosomal RNA, 481 nt
Filed under: uncultured bacterium
Lineage: Bacteria
Description: bacterial SSU rRNA
Rfam family: Bacterial small subunit ribosomal RNA
Source: RNAcentral